GGGUGAUUAGCUCAGUUGGUAGAGCAGCUGACUCUUAAUCAGCGGGUCGAAGGUUCGAGUCCUUCAUCACCCACCA
Molecule: transfer RNA, 76 nt
Filed under: Hyphomicrobium sp.
Lineage: Bacteria; Pseudomonadati; Pseudomonadota; Alphaproteobacteria; Hyphomicrobiales; Hyphomicrobiaceae
Also listed under: 21 other names
Description: tRNA-Lys
Rfam family: tRNA
About the family: Transfer RNA (tRNA) molecules are approximately 80 nucleotides in length. Their secondary structure includes four short double-helical elements and three loops (D, anti-codon, and T loops).
Source: RNAcentral